This is a long non-coding RNA of Oncorhynchus tshawytscha (Chinook salmon), 1508 nucleotides long. The record is from Ensembl. NCBI's taxonomy places the organism in Eukaryota, Metazoa, Chordata, Actinopteri, Salmoniformes, Salmonidae.
CCCUCCCCACACGAUAGAGACCGGCCACUGAGGACUACUUUACCCCUCCCUCCCACACGAUAGAGACUGGCCACUGAGGACCUCUUUACCCCUCCCUCCCACACGAUAGAGACUGGCCACUGAGGACUACUUUACUCCUCCCUCCCACACGAUAGAGACUGGCCCCGAGGACUACUUUACCCCUCCCUCCCACACGAUAGAGACUGGCUACUGAGGACUACUUUACCCCUCCCUCCCAUCUCACACGAUAGAGACUGGCCACUGAGGACCACUAUACCCCUCCCUCCCACACGAUAGAGACCGGCCACUGAGGACUACUUUACCCCUCCCUCCCACACGAUAGAGACUGGCCACUGAGGACCUCUUUACCCCUCCCUCCCACACGAUAGAGACUGGCCCCUGAGGACUACUUUACCCCUUCCUCCCACACGAUAGAGACUGGCCACUGAGGACUACUUUACUCCUCCCUCCCGUCUCACUGUGCUAAUCCAAUCCACCACAUUACUACAAUCUAAUCUGUCUCGCAGGAGAGAAGAGACUCACCUGCCACUGAGGUACACUGUGCCUUGCAACUGGUCUGCUAAUGCAGGGUCUGAAUACAACGGAGGGACUACUGUGAUUCAACUCUGAGCAGCCAGCCUCAUUCCUAUAGAAGUGUUUCACAUGACUCCUCUCAGUGGGCUUAGCUGGUUAUCUAAAGGUUGUUUUUUUCUCGCUGAGGUCCGCCUGUGCUUUUCAAUGGAGAUGUAUCAACUGUAUUCUAGUGUAUCAACUGUAUACUAGUGUAUCAACUGUAUACUAGUGUAUCAACUGUAUUCUAGUGUAUCAACUGUAUACUAGUGUAUCAACUGUAUACUAGUGUAUCAACUGUAUACUAGUGUAUCAACUGUAUACUAGUGUAUCAACUGUAUACUAGUGUAUCAACUGUAUACUAGUGUAUCAACUGUAUUCUAGUGUAUCAACUGUAUACUAGUGUAUCAACUGUACACUAGUGUAUCAACUGUAUUCUAGUGUAUCAACUGUAUACUAGUGUAUCAACUGUAUACUAGUGUAUCAACUGUAUACUAGUGUAUCAACUGUAUACUAGUGUAUCAACUGUAUUCUAGUGUAUCAACUGUAUUCUAGUGUAUCAACUGUAUACUAGUGUAUCAACUGUAUACUAGUGUAUCAACUGUAUACUAGUGUAUCAACUGUAUACUAGUGUAUCAACUGUAUACUAGUGUAUCAACUGUAUACUAGUGUAUCAACUGUAUACUAGUGUAUCAACUGUAUACUUGCUGUUUACCCAGGGAUGUUUUCCAUUCAGGUUUCAAGGUAACUUAAUAUCUACAUUAGUUAUAGAUGUUCGUCUCUCUUCUCAUCCUAUAGAGUUUUAUACAAGAAUGGUAACUUUAUAAUCAUAUCAAAUGUGAUUGGUCACAUACACACGGUUUUAGCAGAUGUUAUUGGUCACAUACACACGGUUUUAGCAGAUGUUAUUGGUCACAUACACACGGUUUUAGCAGAUG